GUCACCACUCACCACCACCACCCGUCCCUCCCACGCGUCGCCCCUGCCUCCCGCACGCCGCCGCGCCAUCCUCCAACCCCAACGCGCCGCUGCACCACCCCUCCCACCCUAGCGCGCCACCGCGCUGCCACCCCCAUCUGAAGGCGCCACCGCGUCCACAUCUCCGAAACUCGCGCACUUUUACCGCCGGGCCACGAACUGGGCACCUCCCUCUUCACUGUGCCGGCGUCGCCUUCGCCAAUGCGCGCCGGCAGCCUGCCUUCCCCGCACCGGCGGCCUCCCUCCCAACGCGUGCCGACAGCCUUCCUUCCCCGCGCCGGCGGCCUCCCUCCCAUCGCAUGCCAACGGCCACCCUUCCCAGCACCGGCGGCGUCCCUCCCAAAGCACGCUGGCACCUCUGUUCCCCGUGCCGGCGGGGGGCAGCUUCCCUCCGAACGCGUGGCGCAUUUUCCUCCAAUGGAUGUGCACAACUCGUGGCGCUACCUCCUGGUCAGCUGGUUCCCGUCGGCCUCCUCGCACCGGACAAAUCCUCCAGCGGGACCUCGGAAGGCCUGACGCACUCCCUCGAACUAUCGCGCGUCCUCCCUCGAACGGCCGGACUCGUUUACCUCCUCCAAUAUGCGCAGGUUGCUGCUCUCGUCUGCUUCCUCUUUCUUUUUUGAAAUGAGUCUGCUUUCUCUCUCACGAGCAUGAUGCUACUGCUCCUCUCAACUCUCAAUUCUCAUUAUUUACUGUUUCUCCCCUAUAUGAACUGCUGAUGCUACUUCAUCUCUACUUGUUGUGAAAUAAGAUUUUGAUUUCAGAGAAGUCGCAAAACAAAAAGGAAAGAAGAGCCAUGUUUUCUAUUGUUGUUAUUUUGUUGCCCUCGUGGUGUUUACUGAAAUGCCUACAACAACUUAAGGUGUUCUCUUUUUUUAAAAUGAAGUGAAUGUGUUGUACUACUGUUAAGCGCGGUCCUCCUCCCGAGCUCCUCCAUGCGCAUCCGCCUCCCAAGCUAUGCCAUGAGCGGUUGCGCCUGCUCCGCCGUCCAGGCGACCAUCAUGCGUGCCUCCUGACCCCUGCUGUCAGGUUGCGGCCUCUUUCGCUGUCAGGUCACAUCCUCUCCUGCCGUCAGAUCGCAACCUCUUCCUUCUGCACGUCGCCACCUCCUGCUGCUGCAGGCCGUGCCCCAUCCCCCAUUCUCGCGUGGUCGCCAACAAGGAGGUGACCGAUUGUUGAUCCUGAAGUUUCAUCACAUGAUUUUUUGUCUCUGAAUUUUGCACCAAUUCUUGAUCCUGAAGCAUCAAUGCUUGAGCACUGAUUUUUGUGUGUUAGUUCAAAUUUUGCGUCAAGCAGUUCGACAAGGGCGCGUCCCUCAGUACUACGAUGACGAGGCAGACAGCCGCCCUCUUUGUGACCUGCUGCUAUUCCCCAUCUUGCACUGGCGAACUAAUGAUGCGGGAGCUGCCCUGUUCGCUACAACCCCACGUGGAUCUCUCUCUUUCUCCUCUCUUAAAUUCAUUGGAAAAGUUGGUUUCUUGUUCUUGUUGUGUCGUGAAUACCCUCAAGUUGUUUGAUAUUAUUCCUAUGAGAAAACUGAUCCAUAGCAGAUUUUGUUCCAGAGCUGUUCAAAGUUCAGACUUACGUUUUGUGAAGGCAAGGACAAGGAGAAGCCUAUGGAUAACAGUUCGUGUGGAGCUUGGCCAGUUCCUCUGUUCAUGCUGAACUCCAAUACUUGCAUCCGCCACCCCAACGCCGGCGUGUUCCCUCAGUCCUCUCUCGACAAAUCCAACAGUACAGGUUCUCCGGUGUGCCAAGUAUUGCCUGCGGCGAUCCCUACAUCAUGGCCCAUUGAGGAGAUCUUGUGUAUUCCACAUAGAAGAAAUAUUGUCAGUUCAUGAAUAGAGAAUUUCUGUACCAGACUUAAUAUUAGUUCAGUGCGUAUUCUAUCUUCAGUCCACGAAAAAUCACAGAAUAGUUGGUGUGUGUGCACAAAUAUCGUCAGUGCAAGUUUCAAAAUUCUGUAACUUUAGAUAUAUCACCUGAAAAAGUAAUGAU
Molecule: long non-coding RNA, 2037 nt
Organism: Triticum dicoccoides
Lineage: Eukaryota; Viridiplantae; Streptophyta; Magnoliopsida; Poales; Poaceae
Exons: 4
Source: RefSeq, a predicted model, not a curated record